UUCCAAUUGUGAACUUAUUACCUUGCAUCGUAAUUGGCUAUGACCAUAAGAAAUCAUUUAUUCUUCAGCUUCAGAUAUUCAUGGAUAUGCUCCCUCUCUUUCAUUAGGAACAUUUUGCUGGCAGUGAGGAAGCUUUUGACUGAAUAGGUUUAAAAUCCUUAUAUAGAAGAUUUUUCAAGUUUGCCAAUAUUUUAACAGUGUGCAAUAGGACUUUUACAAAGUAGAGGUUUUAGACUUAAAGUUUCAAAUUGUGGCAGGUGGUACUGUAGAUUUCAGGGCGUUUUCUUGGAUUGCUCGCAUUUCUCUGAUGGACUAUACCUGAUGCCAGUGGGAAAGAAUCUUAAGUGUCUUCAUUUCAAGAUUGCUACAGCCCUCGGCAUUUAUUAUCACAUUCUUAGUUCUCAGGUUGGGACUUGAAUUAUUGCUGCAGAGCAGUAAUGGUUAAAAUAAGAUUUUGGAAUUUACUAAAGGGAAUUUUUUUUUGUUCAAAUAAGUUUUAGAUUAGGAUUUAACAUGUAAAGAUUGUUACAGGAUAAAUACAUUGUAUUUUCUGCAUUGUGUGAAAUAAUUUUUAUUGAAAAUCAAGGGACAUUUAGAAAGAAGUUCUAUAGCAAUUAUGUUUCCUGCUUAAAGUAAAAAUUCCUAGAAUUUAGUUUAAAAAUGUAAUCUUUUAAAUUUCAGACUGAUACCCACAGUAUUUUCAUAAUUCCAUGUUUUUAUAAAAUACUGAUCACCACUUUAUAUCCGUGUAGGCAAAUAAUAUGUGAGCAGAGAAUAAUUUGCACUAAUUAUUGUAAAUACUUAUCCUCUUUAAAUGAGUAUAGUAAAAGGUCUAAUUCCAUGAAAGCCUGAAAAGUAAUUGAGUGCUUGGUCGAGGAGAGUCAACCCAGGAAGGAUUUUAACCUGGUGCCAAGGUUAAAAUGACACUUCUCUACUGCCUAAUUCUAUGACAGAACUUGAUUUUUUUUUUUUAACUCGGAUUUUUAACAUUGCUGAUAGAAAUUAUGUUCCUGUGUUUCACAUGUAAAAGUACAUAUAGCCACGUUAAAUAUAUUGAACAAAAUAUUUUACAUAGUCAUAUAUUUAAAAUUUUCAAGAGAUUAGCCACUAAUUUUACAAGGAAAAAAGCCUUUUGUUAUUUGACAUAUAGUUUUUUCUUCUUAGUUCUGAUUCAGAAAUGGCAUAUAGUUCUUAGCUGUUUCACAAUGUAUAUACACUGUUUUCUGUAGGAAUGGAAUAGAUAAUUAUAUAUAGGAUUGUGGUGUUUUUUUUAGCCAUGUACCAAAUGGGAAUAAUGAUUACUUAAUAAUCAUUAUUUUGAAGCCUUAUGUUACCAAAACAUACAGUCAAAAAGUAGAAAUUUAUGGAAUACUUUUUGAAAAGAGUUUAUUUUGUCCUUGCUAAAGGGAACGCUUUCACAGUAGUUUGUGCAUCAUUCCUUUUUGUAGAAAUUGAAAUUUCUUCUCUGAUCAGCAUUUGGUUAGCCAUGGCACAUCCUGCUUUUAAGAUGUUUUUGAGGAUUAGUAAGCUUUUUGUCUCAGUAAGUCUUUUGUUUAUACUAUAAGGUUGCCACCUCACUUAGUUCAGGUGUAACUUGUCAGCCACCAUGCAAGGAACAUGGUCAGCAUCAGGAGACAGUGUUAACCAGGCUGGUGCUUUGCAUGGUAGCAAAGCGUUGCCCUUGGUAAGCGCUCUCGGGCAAAAUGUAGAUGAAAGGUAAAGGUACUGAGACUUAGGCAUGCUGGACAAACUUGUGGCUUUUCUUAAGUCAUAUCUUGUUAGGAAUUUCUACAAUAACACACUCAUGCCCCUAGAUCAGACCAGAGCGCAUUCCAAUGCCAAUCAGAAGUCAUGUGUGGGCUUAACAAUGUUAGAUGAUUCAACUUCUGUUUCAUUGCUGUAGAACCAUGUGAACUAUUCCAUUAUGGCAGAUACUUAAGCAUCAACUUUAAUAAAUUCUAUGUUCUGUUU
RNAcentral lists this long non-coding RNA (1971 nucleotides) under Bos taurus (domestic cattle). RNAcentral's name for it is "long non-coding RNA NONBTAT013929". Lineage: Eukaryota; Metazoa; Chordata; Mammalia; Artiodactyla; Bovidae. The record is from RNAcentral.